Molecule: long non-coding RNA, 1245 nt
Filed under: Betta splendens (Siamese fighting fish)
Lineage: Eukaryota; Metazoa; Chordata; Actinopteri; Anabantiformes; Osphronemidae
Description: lncRNA (ENSBSLG00000000538.1)
Source: RNAcentral
UGCAGACAAUAUGUCACAACAACAACAACAACAAAGACUCUUACUGAAGUAGAAGUGGUGGUUGAGUUCAAUGACCAUGCUGCACUUGGAGAAACCCCACAGGCUAGUGAUGUGGCAAAAACAUUAGCAAAUGCUGUGUCCAAUCUCAACAACACCUUCAAUCUCACUGUUGAUUCCACUACCAUCCAAGCAGUUGUAUUGAAUGAAACAAAUCCAACAGCUGUGGUCCCCAACCUGACUACUACGGAAGCCACUCAACAAACACCCAUCAGUGCUACACCAGCUCCAACAACAGAGACUACAGCAGCUACUUCGACUGCUUCAGGAACCACAACAUUUGUUCUUGUCUCAGCUGUCUUGAAUACACCAUAUGAACCACAACUCAAUGACAGCAGCAGUGUUGAGUUCAAGACUCUUGAAACAGAAGUUGUACAAAUUGUGAGUACCAUGUCAAAAUGGUUACGUGGCUUCAUAAAUGCCCAAGUGGAUGAAUUCAACGUGACAAUCUUGAUUAUUGUAUUUAGAUAAUGAAACAUUUGUAAUAUGUUUGCACUUUUCUAUCUGCUUUCCUCCCUCAGUGGGACAUCGUCUACAGUGCCAGAUAUUAUUAUCUUUUUGUCCGUGCCUAUGUCGUAGAAUUCAGGUAAGGUUUUAACUUAUUUUUCGCUUUAUUGUAGGUGCUGUUCUCCAGUAUCAUGAGUGUUGUAUUCCAAAGAACCCCAUUUCAUGGAGCAAUUGCACACAUCAUUAAUGACUGUCAAUAUGAUGUCCUUGAAAUGUUCUGCUGUUUUUUGCAGACAAUAUGUCACAACAACAACAACAACAAAGACUCUUACUGAAGUAGAAGUGGUGGUUGAGUUCAAUGACCAUGCUGCACUGGAGAAACCCCACAGGCUAGUGAUGUGGCAAAAACAUUAGGAAAUGCUGUGUCCAAUCCCAACAACACCUUCAAUCUCACUGUUGAUUCCACUACCAUCCAAGCAGUUGGUAAGUAAGCUGUUGCCCUGAAUCCUAAACCAUGGGUAAAUACUUUUUCUGUUCUCAGCGCCAUCUAAAAAGAUGGUUGGCUCAACAAAGAGCAUGCAGAAGCAGAAUAAUCAAAAAGGCCAAAAUGAGCAAGACUUAAUGCCAGCGUUGUCCAAUCCUCACGUUCGACAGCUACUGUCUUUCUGGUUUUCUAACUAUCGGCUGAUUACCUUGAUCAGAUGGGUUAGUCAGUUGCUGCUUUACUGAACAAACCUGGUC